UGGGGAGUCGUCUAAUGGUAGGACAGCGGCCUUUGAAGCCGUAUGUGAAGGUUCGAUUCCUUCCUCCCCAGCCA
RNAcentral lists this transfer RNA (74 nucleotides) under Candidatus Peregrinibacteria bacterium RIFOXYA12_FULL_33_12. RNAcentral describes it as "tRNA-Gln". It matches the Rfam family "tRNA". From Rfam's summary of the family: Transfer RNA (tRNA) molecules are approximately 80 nucleotides in length. The record is from RNAcentral. Lineage: Bacteria; Candidatus Peregrinibacteriota. RNAcentral also lists the same sequence under 2 other names.